AUGGAGGUGACCGUUAGUGACAGUGCUGCUGAAAUAGUAACAGUUGAAACAAAUGCAAGAAGAACCUCUAGAGUUACAGAGGAACAUCAAGAAAAGAAGGGUUUGUGUCCGUCAGAAAAAGAUAGUGCGGUUAUAUCUGCAAAGUUAGACUUACCAAUUGAAUUUAGUAGAUCAGACUAUACAUCAGCUGUGCCAAAUGAGACAUGCUCUCCUACUGUUCAGAAUGAAGUGGAAAAUGGGCAGCAAACAGAGUCAAUAACUGCACGCAGGAAGACUCACGUCACCUCUCGUACUAAAAGUAGCAGACGUACAGGUCAACGGAAAGAACCAUACCCAGAUCCAAGAAAAACAUACGUAAUCUCCCAAGAUCCUCCUUAUGACAUUUUUAACGAUUGUUUUAGUGAUCUCGAGCUUCAGAAUUCUGAAAGAAGCAAGGCAAUUGAAAAUACUUCAAGUAAAGCUGUUAAAAACAAAGCUAAAGAGUCCCAUGCUACGCAGGAACCCAGGAGAACAUUUAUAGUUCAAGAUGAGCUAAGACCUCAGAAGAUCAGGAAGACCAAAGUUUUGUCCCUUAUGAUGGAUCACGGUUUAUCUGAUGUUCAUGAAAAUGUCCAGUCUGCCAGUAGUUUAUGCUUCGAGUCUGCUUGUACUGAUGUGCAUGUCGGUGAGACCGCUGUUCAAAAACAUAAAAACAAAACUCCAGCACACCCACUUCCUCAGUCUGAAAAGUGCAAGACACAGAAAAACAGAGGAACAUUUGUGAUACAGGCAAGUAAAUCAUUCAUCAACAGGAAUUCAUUUUUGGAUGAAACCAAUAUAUUAGAGGAUCCCAACAGACCGGAAGGUUUGCAGGAAGUAAUAUCAGAAACCCAAACAACACCUCUCAAUAUUGGUUCAGAUAAUGUUGCCCAACAGCACAAGGCGCCAGAGCAUGAUUUUCUUCAUAAGAUAUUGACAGAAAACACCUAUCAUCCAGAAUGUUCACAAGAUGUGAGUGCCAACCAUGUACAGGAACCCUCUGAAUUUACGUCAUCAGUGGCUGGUAAAGCCAAAAAAACACAGAAAAGAGGGGGAAGAUAA
This 1080-nucleotide long non-coding RNA is filed under the name Sinocyclocheilus anshuiensis. Its description in RNAcentral is "lncRNA (ENSSANG00000028536.1)". The record is from RNAcentral. Lineage: Eukaryota; Metazoa; Chordata; Actinopteri; Cypriniformes; Cyprinidae.